Molecule: unclassified non-coding RNA, 229 nt
Filed under: uncultured Ascomycota
Lineage: Eukaryota; Fungi; Ascomycota
Description: sequence contains ITS1
Rfam family: 5.8S ribosomal RNA (bases 1-105)
Source: RNAcentral
GAAAUGCGAUAAGUAAUGUGAAUUGCAGAUUUCAGUGAAUCAUCGAAUCUUUGAACGCACAUUGCGCCCGCUAGUAUUCUGGCGGGCAUGCCUGUUCGAGCGUCAUUUCAACCAUCAAGCCCCCGGCUUGCGUUGGAGCCCUGCGGCUGCCGCAGGCUCCUCCUCUCAUUAAGGGGGGACACUUUUCAAGGUUGACCUCGGAUCAGGUAGGAAUACCCGCUGAACUUAA